AUUGAACGCUGGCGGCAGGCCUAACACAUGCAAGUCGAGCGGAUGAAGGGAGCUUGCUCCUGGAUUCAGCGGCGGACGGGUGAGUAAUGCCUAGGAAUCUGCCUGGUAGUGGGGGAUAACGUCCGGAAACGGGCGCUAAUACCGCAUACGUCCUGAGGGAGAAAGUGGGGGAUCUUCGGACCUCACGCUAUCAGAUGAGCCUAGGUCGGAUUAGCUAGUUGGUGGGGUAAGGGCCUACCAAGGCGACGAUCCGUAACUGGUCUGAGAGGAUGAUCAGUCACACUGGAACUGAGACACGGUCCAGACUCCUACGGGAGGCAGCAGUGGGGAAUAUUGGACAAUGGGCGAAAGCCUGAUCCAGCCAUGCCGCGUGUGUGAAGAAGGUCUUCGGAUUGUAAAGCACUUUAAGUUGGGAGGAAGGACAGUAAGUUAAUACCUUGCUGUUUUGACGGUACCAACAGAAUAAGCACCGGCUAACUUCGUG
RNAcentral lists this ribosomal RNA (484 nucleotides) under uncultured bacterium. RNAcentral's name for it is "partial 16S ribosomal RNA". It matches the Rfam family "Bacterial small subunit ribosomal RNA", at positions 30 to 507 of the family's 1533-position model. The record is from RNAcentral.